UACGAAGGGUGCAAACGUUGCUCGGAAUUAUUGGGCGUAAAGCGCACGUAGGCGGCAUUGCAAGUCGGAUGUGAAAUCCCUCGGCUUAACCAAGGAAGUGCAUCCGAAACUGCAGUGCUUGAGUACUUAAGAGGAUCGCGGAAUUCCGAGUGUAGAGGUGAAAUUCGUAGAUAUUCGCAAGAACACCAGUGGCGAAGGCGGCUCACUGGCCCGAUACUGACGCUGAGGCACGAAAGCGUGGGGAGCAAACAGG
RNAcentral lists this ribosomal RNA (253 nucleotides) under uncultured bacterium. RNAcentral describes it as "partial 16S ribosomal RNA". It matches the Rfam family "Bacterial small subunit ribosomal RNA", at positions 524 to 776 of the family's 1533-position model. The record is from RNAcentral.